Molecule: ribosomal RNA, 430 nt
Filed under: uncultured bacterium
Lineage: Bacteria
Description: bacterial SSU rRNA
Rfam family: Bacterial small subunit ribosomal RNA
Source: RNAcentral
UGGGGAAUCUUGCGCAAUGGGCGAAAGCCUGACGCAGCAACGCCGCGUGACUGAUGAAGCUUCUAGGAGUGUAAAGGUCUGUCGUGAGGGAAGAACAGUAUCCAUGUAAAUAGCAUGGGCAUUUGACGGUACCUCACAAGAAAGCACCGGCUAACUUCGUGCCAGCAGCCGCGGUAAUACGAGGGGUGCUAGCGUUGUCCGGAAUCACUGGGCGUAAAGGGCGCGUAGGCGUCUUAGCAAGCCUUGAUUGAAAUCCCCCGGCUCAACCGGGGAACUGGUCAGGGAACUGCUAGGAUAGAGUUUGGUAGGGGAGAGCGGAAUUCCUGGUGUAGCGGUGAUAUGCGUAGAUAUCAGGAGGAACACCGAAAGCGAAGGCAGCUCUCUGGGCCAAUACUGACGCUGAGGCGCGAAAGCGUGGGGAGCAAACAGG